Molecule: long non-coding RNA, 1214 nt
Organism: Helianthus annuus (common sunflower)
Lineage: Eukaryota; Viridiplantae; Streptophyta; Magnoliopsida; Asterales; Asteraceae
Exons: 5
Source: RefSeq, a predicted model, not a curated record
AUUGAAAGAGUUGGAGGUUAGAAGUAGGGAGAUAAAGCGAAUAAUAGAGACAGCAGGUGGUUUCAGUUCUGGGGUUAAUGGUUAGGGCUCAUGAGACGGUAGUGGAAGAGUGGUGGUUUGAAACUGAGAUGGCGGAAUCGAUGGGUUGAAGGUGAAUAGAUGGUGGUGAUUGAAGCUGUAGGUUUGAUUCCGGCCGGAUUAGGGUUCUGAAAGGGCAGCGAUGCUGACUAAUUAGACUAAGGUCAAUGAGGCUGAUUGCGGCAAUAGUAACGUUUUCCGAUGCCAUAUGCUGUAGAAUACGGGCCUAUAAAGAUUAUUCUAAUGGUUAGAUAUUAGGGGUUCUGUGGUUCAAAUACUUCAUCUACAUUCUGUUUUUCUUUAAUUCUACUCUCCACUUGUAAAUCCCGUAGAUAGGUGAGCUCCAACGAACCAUGAAACAAUCGAUUCUGGUGGCAAUGGUGCGUCAUAAGUCCAGAUCGAGGACAACAGGAGUGGUAUCACCAAAAAUUGGCAGGUUAAUGACACGGUCACCAAAAUCCAAAUGUACUCAUACUCCAGAUGGUGCCAUUUUCAGGAAAGAAGUAGCGCAUAAAUGGGCAUUAAGUUCGAAUUUCCAAGUUAGACAACUUGAUCGAGUUCGAUGCUGAAUAACUUACCAUGGCCGGCUGUCGGAAUUACCAAUGCUAUUGUGGUGCUUCUGCUGAAUAACUUCCUAUUCCUAACAUGGACUUACCUAUUGUGUCCAUAGUUGCAAGUCAUAGAGGUGGUAAAAUGUCUGUGGGUCAAUCUGCAAUCGGGAAGACCACCUAAAGCUCAAAGAAAAAAACACAUGUUCCAGGCUACAAGUAAAUGGAACCUGAUUGGGCUAAAGCUGGGUUACAAGUGCAAACAGGAAGAUGCCCCUGAUCCAAUGGUGAAGCAUUGUUUGGCCAAAGGCUAACCACUCAUGUCAUACAACUAGAGGUUGCGUACUUUAUUAGCAGCCACCAUCGUGGUCGAGGAUGUUACCGUUAACCUCACCAGACACUAAUCAAAUAGAUUGUAUGUUAGGAAGCAUAAGUUAGUUGUUUUGCAAUUACUUAACUAUGUAAACUUAACCAUAAAAUACUGACUAGCAUGGAAAUCGAAAACAUAACACCAUGAAAAAUUGAGAACACCGCUCUUUUGUGUUUGGAGCCUUACACGAAAUCUAAUUACUUUCACUUUUGGUGCCA